CCUUCCCCUACCCUCAGCCGCCGCAUCCCCCUCGAAAACCGCGCCACCAGCCAGAUCCAUCCACCUCCUCCCUGUUUUCCGGCGCCCUCCACCUCAUCCUCGCCACGUGGCGCCGCCUGAGUGGUCGCGCCGCCACCCAGCAUCGCUCCCCUCCAACCGGAACUGGCCACGUCGCCCCUGCCUCCCUCCUCCACCUCGCGCGGCCCGCAGAGCCCGUCCGAGGCCCGCUCAGGCCCGAAUCGCCGCCGUCCGGGCGCCCGCUCGCCUCCCGGCCCCGCAGCUCUGCUCGAUGGGAUCGAGAGAGAUCCCGAGCGCCGCCGCCUCUCGCCUCCCGCCGGCGACCCGGCAGCCCCGCCGGAGCCAGCAGGCCGCCAUGGACGCCGACCCCGUCGAGGUCUCGUCGCCCCGAGCUCGGCCUCGGGUCAGAUCCGGCCGGAAACGGGGCCCCGCCUCCUCCCGUGGCUGGAUCCGCCCGUCCCUGUCCUCUCCUCGCGCCCCGGCCUCCUCCUGGCGCUCGCCGCCGGCGCCGCCUCCGCUCGUCCUCGUCGGGCGAGGACGACGCCCUCGCCUCCCAGUCGCGCCCCGCGUGGGCCUCCCCAGCUCCAGCCCAGCAUCGCGAGGCCCAGCGCCUUCCAGCCGGCCCGCAGCUCCCCAGGCCCAGCCGCAGCCAGCCCCAGGCCCCGCCGAAGCCGCGCCAGGCCCAGCCGGCCUCCUCCACCGAGCCGGCCCAAGUGCCAUGGUGAACCGACUCGCUCCCGCAUAGGCUAGGGUUCCCCCCGCCGCCGCCGCCGCCCCCAGUCCCUGACUCGUAUGCUCAUCACCGCGGCUAGCUCCGGCGACAUGACCAGAGGGUAGGAGCCAUCUUCCGUCGCUUCUCCAACCUCGGGCAUGACCCCUACCUUCCCCAGUGGCCAGGAGCAGCUCGUGUUGGUCCCGUCGGUGCCCUACUCCGGUGGUCGGUGCCCCACUCCGGCCGCGACCCAGUCCGACGAGAAGGAGCCCCGUUCGUUUCCCUCCCCUCCUCAGUCUGUGGCCAUGAGCUCGGCCGGCAAGGAGCUUAUUCUGACAACAUAGCUCAAAAGAACUGGCCGUGAAGCGGACUCGCGCGGAGGAGCUCUGCCUCUGGGCCAGGCGCGUAGCUGGCGUCCAUCUCGGCGCCGGGGAGGGAGGAACAAGGGCGCGGCUGAGUCCGCUGCCUUCGCCACUCACCACUGCCUGCCGAUGUGGUUGUCUGCAUCUUCAUGAGCCACGACCGACCACCCCGUCGUCGCUAGCCAUUCUCGCGCCAGAGAUAUCCUUCGACCGUUGUUGUGUCCCGCCAGCCCCUAGGCGCCCUUGUCCGGACAAGUUCCACUGUUCCCCUUCAGGUCCUCCUCAACACCCAACCGCAACCGGCAACCAAGGUUAUUUUCCGAGCCACGGCAUUGAUCCGUUCGUGGUCGCUACUCACUCCGAUGAAGGCCAGGGAGCAUUUGGUUACUGGAUCCAUCCGAUGGGAGAUGGUAGCUCGGGAUAUCUUCAACCGAUUUGGAUGGCGGUCAUGUAAUAGGAUAGGCAAUUAGUUUACCUAUCUAUCUUUAGCCAGCCGGUUCUGGCGUCUUUCUUUGGCUAGUUAGUGUUUCUAGUCCUUUUUGGCUCUGUGUGAGCUUUCUUUUCAGUUUUUUUACUGUUGGAGACUUUGGCACCUUGUUUGGAACCUUUUUAUUUGGUUAAUAAGAUGGCCGUAUGCAUCUAUCUGAUGCAGAGGCCGGGGAGAACCCCCUUUUGAAAAAAAGAAAGAGAAUACCAUGGUUUUCUAAAAAAGCCAUGGUUUUAAAGACUUUGAUGUGUUUGGCAUUAACAAAUACUUUAGUUUAUAAAACCGUAGUACCUCAGAAAACUGUGUAUUUUACUGUAUCUAAAAAAUAGGUCCAGACCUCUUUUUUCCAAACCGAGGGACACUCACGCCUGACUGGUCUCUCGAGUUCAUCUUCUGUCCGCCAUCAGAUGUGAGUUGUUCCUCAUGUUCUAGCCACAAACAAACCAAGCUCACCACAUGGAAAGAGAGGCACGUGGUCUUCUACACACCUACUCUACUCCCUGUGAUGUACCUGAAGACAUAUGCCGACUUGUUCACGGCAGCAUGCAUGCGGCAACUGUUAGCACAAGCUGGUCAGGUCUUAAUAAUUGGUGUAGCUGAGUUAGGUUCACCUAGCUAUCUCUAGGACGUAAUAAUAGGUCAAACCAGAGGUAACUUAAAAAGAUUGUGCUUGCCAAAUGCUCUGUAGUUUUGCCAAAGCAAAGGAAAACUUCAGUUUUCAGAAACUGUGGUAUUCAUUGCCCAAUCAUUUGAAUACCAUAUUUGGAUUGCUGUGGUUUUAGAAAUAUUGUGCUCCCAAACUAGGCCUCAGUUUUUUAGAAAUAGGCCUGAGGUUCUUUUUUUAUGCAGAGAAAAACUACAGUUUGGUCAAUACUGUAAAUAAAACUAAGGUAAUCUAAAAAAAACUGUAGUAUUCUCAAAAAACUUAGAAAAUACUCUGAUAUCAAACAUGCCGUUAGUUUCUUAAGCGACCUGAUUGUUUUAUGUUUUUCAUGCAUGUAAUGUCUACAGUGUUAUUCAGCUGCUGCUAUUUUGGUAUUUUUCUGCAUGUAGAUGCAUAGAAGUUGGAUGCAUGGUACACUGUUUUCCCGUGAGUACAUCAGUGGUAUCAAAGAAUUUAUGAACUUCAUUCAAGAUAAAUUCGGUGAGGAUGAUGAAAUACUCUGCCCGUGUAGUUGAUGUCUUAAUCAGAAAUAUCAUCUUAAUCAGGAAUAUCUAAAGCGGACCAUUGUGGAGAAUCACAUGUUGAUGAAUGGCAUUGAAAGUACAUAUACUCGCUGGAUACAUCAUGGAGAAGUCUUUGAUCUAGAUGUUGUUGAACAUCCUGUUCAUGUGCAUGGUACUGAAGAUGGUUCCGUACAUGGGACUGAGGAUGAGAACAAUGGUGUUGAUCAACUUGAAGGGAUGUUAGGAGACCUGCACACAGCAGCAGAACAAGCUCAAAAGGAAGGUGAAAAUCAAGAUGAAAACAAUGGCGCAAGCCCUCAUGAGAAUGAGUCUUUUUUUGGAGUACGCGAAGAAAGAGGCAAAGCGCCAACUUUAUCAUGGUUGCACCAAGUUUUCAAAGUUCUCCUUUGUGGUAAAGCUUCUUCAUAUGAAGUCAUACCAUAGGAUCAGCAAUACUGCAUUUUCUGAAAUAUUAAAGCUAUUGGCUGAAGCAUUCCCUGAUACCAAUACACUCCCAAAAUCAUAUAAUGAAGCAAAAAACCUUCUGAAGGAAUUAGGUCUUGGAUAUGAGACGAUACAUGCGUGCUUCAACAAUUGUGUUCUUUUCAGAAAGCAAUAUGCCAAGAAUGAUAAUUGCCCAGUUUGUGGUCUAUCAAGAUAGAAAGACCCUGUUAGGAAGAAGAUUCCACAGAAAGUGCUCAGACAUUUUCCAUUGGUACCUAGGCUGAAGAGGAUGUUUCUUUCCAAACAAGCAUCAGAAGAUGCACAAUGGCACAAGUUAAAGCGGCAGCCCAGUGAGAAAGAAAGGAGCCAUCCAGCUGACGGUGAGGCGUGGCAAGAUUUUGACCGUGAAUAUCCAAAAUUUGCAGAAGACCACAGAAACAUUAGACUUAGCCUUGCCACUGAUGGGUUUAAUCCUUUUGGCAACUUUAACAAAACCUAUAGUAUGUGGCCAGUAUUUGUUGUGCCAUACAACCUUCCACCUUGGGCAUGCAUGAAUCAGUCAAAUUUCAUGAUGGCUUUGCUAAUUUCAGGUCCUAAAUCUCCUGGCAAGAACUUUGAUGUCUUUCUACAGCCUCUUGUAGAAGAUUUACUAGAGCUUUGGAAUGGUGUGCGUACAUAUGAUGCUCUUAGUGGAAAAAUGUUUGAUCUUCAUGCUGCAGUUCCAUGGUGCAUCCACGAUUACCCAGCUCUAAGCACUCUUUCAGGGCGUACCACCAGAGGUUAUUCUGCAUGUAUUCAUUGCGACAAGCACCCUCUUUCUUACGGCUUAAGGAACAAAAUUGGGUAUAUUGGGCACUAUCGUUUCCUUUCAAGGGGACAUCGUUUGCGUAGAAACAAUGAAUUUGUUGGUCUUCAUGAAAGGAAUGAUAAGCCAGGUAAAUUCUCUAGAGAAGAGCUACAAGCAUAAUUGGAGAAGGUUAGACCUGGGCAGGAAAAGGAAAGCAGGAAAAGGAAGCGUUCUAUCUUGGGCAACAAAAAAAAGCAUCAUGUGCCAGUUUGGAGUCGGAGGGUUUGUUUGUGGGAUUUGGAGUAUUGGAAAAAAAAUUGAAGUUGAGACAUAAUCUUGAUGUCAUGCACAUUGACAAAAACAUAUGUGACAACCUUGUUGGGACAAUUCUGAAUAUAGAGGGUAAGACAAAGGACACAAUUAAUGCUAGGCUUGAUCUCAAAGAUUUGAAAAAAGAGACUGCAACUGAGGGAGAAAGGAAACUCAUAUGUGAUGCUUCCGGCUCGAUAUACCUUGUCCAAAGAACGAGUGAUUGCCUUUUGUCAAUUUUUACGAGAAUUAAAGUUUCCAGAUGGGUUUGCUUCAAACAUAGCAAGAUGUAUAAGUGCUGAUGGAACCAAGGUACAAGGCCUAAAAACACAAGAUUGUCACAUUCUUUUGCAAAGAAUCUUACCGGCUGGAAUGAGAGGAUUUUUGGACAUUGAUAUAUAUGUAGCAAUAGCUGAGUUAGGCAAGUUCUUCAGGAAAUUGUGCUGCAAAACUCUUAACAAGGAUGUGUUGGCCGAAAUGAAGAAAGAAAUCCCUGUAAUAUUGUGCAAGCUUGAGAAAAUUCCCCCCCUGCUUUCUUCGAUGUGAUGGUGUACCUUGCUGUACAUUUACCCGAAGAGGCGUUACUCUGAGGUCCCGUGCAAUAUGGGUGGAUGUACCCAAUUGAAAGGCGGUUGUAUACUUUGAAGCGCUAUGUGAGGAAUAGGGCACGACCAGAAGGGUCGAUUGCUGAGGCAUAUGUUGCUGAUGAGCGCCUGACAUUUUGUUCCAAGUACAUGAACGAUGUUGAAACAAGAUUUAAUCGGGAGCCAAGAAAUAUAGGUUUUUCAGAUGAAGAAGCCUAUGAUGUUGAUGUUUUCGGGCAUGGAGUUAAUUUUACUUCAGCAUAUCAAUAUGUAUAUGUUGAAAAUGAAUUUGAUCAAAUGGUGUGGUACGUGUUGAACAAUUGUAGUCAAGUUGAGAAAUAUAGAAGGUGAGCUAGAGAGAGAAGGACUGCCAAACAUUGAAAGAAGGCUUCGGGAAGGAUUCCAGACAUGGUUCAGGAACUAUAUAAUGAGGCUGCAGAAUGAGGAUGGCAAAGAGGUUAACAAAGAUCUCUUUGCCUUGGCAUGUGGUCCUGAUUCGAGAGUCAGGAAAUACUCAUCAUGCAUAAUGAAUGGCAUUCGGUUUAGUACCGUGGACCGUGAUAACAGUAGGAGAACACAGAAUAGUGGAGUUGUGUCCGAAGGUAGGCAUGACAGGAAGGUCAUUGACUUUUAUGGAACCCUGAAAGAGAUCAUUCAGUUAGACUAUAACUUGGACGAUAGGUCAGUCGUUUUGUUUAAAUGUGAUUGGUUUAAGCUUCAUGGGAAGAAGACCGAACUUCAAAAUGAUGGAUUUUUUACAAGCAUCAAUGUGGUAAGUAUAUGGUACAAGGAUGAUUCUUUGAUUCUGGCUACUCGGGCUAAAAAGGUCUUCUAUUUGCCAGACACAAAGUUAGGGAAAAUUUGGGAAGUUGUCCAAACAUUCGACCAUAGGCAUCUCUUCAAUAUUAGUGAAACUGAGGGUGCACCUUUUGCUGCUCUUUCAUAUCAAGAGGAGUGUUGUGAUGAGGAUGUCAGGCAAAAAUCAGUUUCUGACCAUACAUCUGAGAAGCCUUUACAUAGAGAGGAUGAGCAAGGCGUUAUUUUUGAAGCUGAUGUAGUUGCCCGUUUGAUGAAAGACAAAAACACAGAAGUGUAUGGAAAUGAGGGCGAAGAUGAAGAAGAUAACACAGGUAUGGAGUACUGCAGCGAAAAUGAAGGAGGUGCCACAAUGGAUGUCGACAGCGAUGACGACUAGAUGUUUUGAUGUAGAAGUUUAUCGUGCAUCAAAGGGUAUCACCAGUCACAAGAUUCCAUCUCAGUGUCGUCAACGUACUGACUGCUUCCCCUCUGAAUACAUGUUUGCUCAUGCCUAAACAUGAUAUGAAUAGGAGUAAAAAAAUUGUAUGUGGUAUAUCCAGUUGAUGUAUCUGGAUUGGCUGUAAGGUAGCCAUUUAUGUUUAGAGUACUUUCUCGGGUUCACGCCAAAGGGAGAUAAUGGCCUUACAUGUGGGCCUGUAAUUUUGAUUUACUGUAGUGUAAGGAGAGCUGAUUGUGCUCACGUAUUGUGUUUUUUCGCUGAGUUGUAUGUGUAAGUUAGGCUUU
Molecule: long non-coding RNA, 6412 nt
Organism: Triticum aestivum (bread wheat)
Lineage: Eukaryota; Viridiplantae; Streptophyta; Magnoliopsida; Poales; Poaceae
Exons: 7
Source: RefSeq, a predicted model, not a curated record